UACAGAGGGUGCAAGCGUUAAUCGGAAUUACUGGGCGUAAAGCGUGCGUAGACGGUUGCGUAAGUCAGAUGUGAAAGCCCCGGGCUCAACCUGGGAAUUGCAUUUGAGACUGCGUAGCUAGGGUGCGGAAGAGGGAAGCGGAAUUUCCGGUGUAGCGGUGAAGUGCGUAGAUAUCGGAAGGAACACCAGUGGCGAAAGCGGCUUCCUGGUCCAGCACCGACGUUCAGGCACGAAAGCGUGGGGAGCAAACAGG
RNAcentral lists this ribosomal RNA (253 nucleotides) under uncultured bacterium. RNAcentral describes it as "partial 16S ribosomal RNA". It matches the Rfam family "Bacterial small subunit ribosomal RNA", at positions 524 to 776 of the family's 1533-position model. The record is from RNAcentral.